This 394-nucleotide ribosomal RNA is filed under the name uncultured bacterium. RNAcentral describes it as "bacterial SSU rRNA". It matches the Rfam family "Bacterial small subunit ribosomal RNA", at positions 29 to 419 of the family's 1533-position model. The record is from RNAcentral.
AUUGAACGCUGGCGGCAUGCCUAACACAUGCAAGUCGAACGGCAGCACGGCAGUAGCAAUACUGUGGGUGGCGAGUGGCGGACGGGUGAGGAAUACGUCGGAAUCUGCCCAGUCGUGGGGGAUAACUAGCCGAAAGGUUAGCUAAUACCGCAUACGACCGAGAGGUGAAAGCGGGGGACCGCAAGGCCUCGCGCGAUUGGAUGAGCCGACGUCGGAUUAGCUAGUUGGAGGGGUAAAGGCCCACCAAGGCGACGAUCCGUAGCUGGUCUGAGAGGAUGAUCAGCCACACUGGAACUGAGACACGGUCCAGACUCCUACGGGAGGCAGCAGUGGGGAAUAUUGGACAACGGCGCAAGCCUGAUCCAGCAAUGCCGCGUGUGUGAAGAAGGCCUGG